Molecule: ribosomal RNA, 253 nt
Filed under: uncultured bacterium
Lineage: Bacteria
Description: partial 16S ribosomal RNA
Rfam family: Bacterial small subunit ribosomal RNA
Source: RNAcentral
UACGUAGGGGGCAAGCGUUGUCCGGAAUCAUUGGGCGUAAAGAGCGUGUAGGCGGCCCGAUAAGUCCGCCGUGAAAGUCCAGGGCUCAACCCUGGGAUGCCGGUGGAAACUGUCGGGCUAGAGUCCGGAAGAGGCGAGUGGAAUUCCUGGUGUAGCGGUGAAAUGCGCAGAUAUCAGGAGGAACACCAAUGGCGAAGGCAGCUCGCUGGGACGGUACUGACGCUGAGGCGCGAAAGCGUGGGGAGCAAACGGG